GACGAACGCUGGCGGCGUGCCUAAUACAUGCAAGUAGAACGCUGAAGGAGGAGCUUGCUUCUCUGGAUGAGUUGCGAACGGGUGAGUAACGCGUAGGUAACCUGCCUGGUAGCGGGGGAUAACUAUUGGAAACGAUAGCUAAUACCGCAUAAUAGUAGAUGUCGCAUGACAUUUGCUUAAAAGGUGCACUUGCCUCACUACCAGAUGGACCUGCGUUGUAUUAGCUAGUUGGUGAGGUAACGGCUCACCAAGGCAACGAUACAUAGCCGACCUGAGAGGGUGAUCGGCCACACUGGGACUGAGACACGGCCCAGACUCCUACGGGAGGCAGCAGUAGGGAAUCUUCGGCAAUGGACGGAAGGCUGACCGAGCAACGCCGCGUGAGUGAAGAAGGUUUUCGGAUCGUAAAGCUCUGUUGUAAGAGAAGAACGAGUGUGAGAGUGGAAAGUUCACACUGUGACGGUAUCUUACCAGAAAGGGACGGCUAACUACGUG
Molecule: ribosomal RNA, 495 nt
Filed under: uncultured bacterium
Lineage: Bacteria
Description: partial 16S ribosomal RNA
Rfam family: Bacterial small subunit ribosomal RNA
Source: RNAcentral